Populus nigra (black poplar) is the source of this 84-nucleotide small nucleolar RNA. RefSeq annotates it as small nucleolar RNA Z159/U59. Lineage: Eukaryota; Viridiplantae; Streptophyta; Magnoliopsida; Malpighiales; Salicaceae. The record is from RefSeq and is a predicted model, not a curated record. The transcript has a single exon.
AUCUCUAACGAUGAUCAACCUCGAAACUUUCGUUCUCCUGAGCAAAUUCAUGCUGAAAAUUGUGGAGACCUGACCUGAAGAGCU